UACGUAGGGGGCGAGCGUUAAUCGGAAUUACUGGGCGUAAAGUGUGCGCAGGCGGCUUCGCAAGUCGAGUGUGAAAUCCCCGAGCUUAACUUGGGAAUUGCGCUCGAAACUACGGAGCUGGAGUGUGGCAGAGGAAGGUGGAAUUACACGUGUAGCGGUGAAAUGCGUAGAGAUGUGGAGGAACACCGAUGGCGAAGGCAGCCUUCUGGGACAACACUGACGCUCAUGCCCGAAAGCGUGGGGAGCAAACAGG
Molecule: ribosomal RNA, 253 nt
Filed under: uncultured bacterium
Lineage: Bacteria
Description: partial 16S ribosomal RNA
Rfam family: Bacterial small subunit ribosomal RNA
Source: RNAcentral